RNAcentral lists this ribosomal RNA (253 nucleotides) under uncultured bacterium. Its description in RNAcentral is "partial 16S ribosomal RNA". It matches the Rfam family "Bacterial small subunit ribosomal RNA", at positions 524 to 776 of the family's 1533-position model. The record is from RNAcentral.
CACGGAGGGUGCAAGCGUUGUCCGGAAUCACUGGGCGUAAAGGGCGCGUAGGCGGCUCAUGAAGGCUGUGGUGAAAGUCCGGGGCUCAACCUCGGAUCGGCCGUGGCGACUCGUGGGCUGGAGCACUGUAGAGGCGGGUGGAAUUCCGGGUGUAGCGGUGGAAUGCGUAGAGAUCCGGAAGAACACCAGUGGCGAAGGCGGCCCGCUGGGCAGUGGCUGACGCUGAGGCGCGACAGCGUGGGGAGCAAACAGG